This 253-nucleotide ribosomal RNA is filed under the name uncultured bacterium. Its description in RNAcentral is "partial 16S ribosomal RNA". It matches the Rfam family "Bacterial small subunit ribosomal RNA", at positions 524 to 776 of the family's 1533-position model. The record is from RNAcentral.
UACGUAGGUGGCAAGCGUUGUCCGGAAUUAUUGGGCUUAAAGCGCGCGCAGGCGGUCCUUUACGUCUGAUGUGAAAGCCCACGGCUCAACCGUGGAGGGUCAUUGGAAACGGGAGGACUUGAGUGCAGGAGAGGAGAGUGGAAUUCCCCGUGUAGCGGUGAAAUGCGUAGAGAUGUGGAGGAACACCAGUGGCGAAGGCGACUCUGUGGCCUGUAACUGACGCUGAGGCACGAAAGCGUGGGGAGCAAACAGG